This is a long non-coding RNA of Gallus gallus (chicken), 1090 nucleotides long. Lineage: Eukaryota; Metazoa; Chordata; Aves; Galliformes; Phasianidae. The record is from Ensembl.
GAUUUAAAUUUGGAAGGCCUGGAAGACAGGAACAAAAGAGAGAGCCCAGAAGCCAGAAGCUGUCACUCCAAAGAGCAGGCUUGACCACUCUGGAAUAUAACCCUCCUGCUUGCUGUAGUUUACACCUCAAAAGCAUACACAAAGUGAGGACCACUUCCAAGCUUGGACACUCCUCUGGCCAACAAUGAGACAUCACAGUGCUACAAACACGUCAGCGGGUGAGGUCCACCAGAUACAGCUUAUUCAGACAACAAAGUGUAAAAAGAUUAACAGAACACAGACUUGAAAAUAAUGCAGGAAGAAGUUUAUGCAAAGGAGAGCCCCUGAGUCUGAACAGCAACCAAAGCAACUUUCACAAACAGAUUUCCAGUGCAGAAAAUGACUUGUAGACCAAAGUCUCUAAGGAAUGCAGAGCUGCAGUCGUGACAGCCUUAAUCUUUUGGUCACAAUCUCUGACAAAAAGACACCAUAUGCCAAGAAUGAUAUUUGAUUGUAGAGGCAGCCAAAAUUGGAGACACUCAUUUCUUUACAUGACUUAUUAAGGAAAAUCAAGACAAUUGUGAUUUGAUCCCAAGGGAAAAAUUCCAGCAAAAGGGAAAGAAGACUUACCUGCAGCGCAUUUAGGAUUCAGUGAUCUGAGUGUCGAGGCAAACACAAACAGCUUGUGCAGGGAUAGGACAAUUGUCAGUUCUAGAAAGAAAAAAUAAAUAAGAGGAAAAAUACUUCAGAGCCAAUUUAUGCUUUUCUUCUCUUGUCACCAAAGAUACAGAGUUCAGCUUGGGAUCUCCUCCACAUUUGCUGCAGCCCAUGAUCCAGAGAGAUGCACAGUGAGUCAUGUGCUCCACCACCAAGAUGUUCUCCUUUAAAUUCAGUCUUUGGUACAUCCAGUCACAAGUUGAGGUUUGAGGUGCCUUGGGCUGCAGAGCAUCUCCAUUACUGCUCUGUUGCAGAAGAAAGCCCUCAGAACCUGGCCUUGAUGUUUUAUUUCUUUUUUCUCCUCAUUCUAUGUGAGUAUCAUUUCUGUUUGUGCUUUAUCCCCAUGGCAACUUGUUAAUCAAUAACAAAAUUGUAUAAUAAUCAAUAUAUCAAU